CAGCCGCCGCGGUAAUACGUAGGGUGCAAGCGUUAAUCGGAAUUACUGGGCGUAAAGCGUGCGCAGGCGGUUUGUUAAGGCAGAUGUGAAAUCCCCGGGCUCAACCUGGGAACUGCAUUUGUGACUGGCGGGCUAGAGUAUGGCAGAGGGGGGUAGAAUUCCACGUGUAGCAGUGAAAUGCGUAGAGGUGUGGAGGAAUACCGAUGGCGAAGGCAGCCCCCUGGGCCAAUACUGACGCUCAUGCACGAAAGCGUGGGGAGCAAACAGGAUUAGAUACCCGCGUAGUCCCUGUCUCUUAUAC
Molecule: ribosomal RNA, 301 nt
Filed under: uncultured bacterium
Lineage: Bacteria
Description: partial 16S ribosomal RNA
Rfam family: Bacterial small subunit ribosomal RNA
Source: RNAcentral